AUAUAUUAGUUAGUUACGGUUAAAAUCAGUGAACAAUGUCUUAUAAAUUAGUUUAUAUAACGACAGUAUUUUUGGAAUGCACAAGCUCAAAGAAGUGUCGUUUUUAACUAUCAUCUAAAACUCUGCUGUGAUUAAUGCCGCAAGGAAAAGCAUAGAAAAAAAGAAGAACGUAAGAUUUUCCUUAUCAAAAUCAUGUCUCACGAUUGGCUAAUGCACAAGAUAUUGGUUUUAAAAGGUCUAUUUUACAAUCAACAAAAAGACCACACCCUAUACAUAUUUAAUUUAAAGUGCCAUAGAGAAGUGUUGUAUGUUAUCACUCCCCGUGAAACGAUUUAUAUGCUAAAACAUAGAUAAUGUUUCUAUCGAAGCUAGUCAAAAAUUUUUAAAAUAUUUUGUUUGAAUAAUUUCUAAAUUACAUUCAUUAUGUUACCCUAUCAAAUAUUAUGGUCUUAUUACGAAGCUCGGAUUUGCCUGGGGAAAAGCAGUAAUAGUUUAUAGUAAACGAUCUAUCAUCAAAUAUGCGUGAGCUUAUGCCAUUUUGAUGACUAGCAGGUCAAUUCGGAAAAAAGGGUUAUCGUAUCCAACACUGCGUUCGCACAAGUGAUAAGAUAAGGAUUGUGACCACUAACAACUAGCAAUGUUCGUUCAUGACGGCAUGGUAAAAAUAUUCAACUCCACUUGUCUACCUUCUUACAGUAGGUUACGGCACAGUCCAAACACAAUUCCUCUAAUAUGUUUAGCUAUAUCGAUUCUUCGAAUGGGACCAUACACUGGCAUAAAGCACACAGCACAGUAACCAAUUGAGGGUUGCUUUUUUCCACCUUAUCGCCCCAUAAAAUGAUACCAACGAUCUACGAACCGUUGCUUUGAAGAAAAGUGAACAUCUAAACCAAUGUUGAGAACCGUAAACGCAAAGUUGAAUGGAUGUGCAUCAAUGGACACCAGAACAAAUAUUGGUUAACAAAGGGUAGAACAUUGAUUUUUUCCUGUAUCAUAAUGAGGCAUAGCACAUACGUUCUCCAUCUUUAUAGCAUUCCAAUGGAAGGACUACAUUGUUACGGCUUUGCACUUAACUUUUUUCUUCACAGCUAUUUUUACGGUACGGUGGACCGAGUAAGAUUAUUUCGCACGCACGAUUUUACGUACACACAAGAAGGGAUCAGAACACUCGACAGAAUGCUAUUUUUUGCCUGUAACGACCUUCGGUCGUGAAACGUGAAACAUAAAACCCCGGACACAAUCUAA
Anopheles coluzzii is the source of this 1245-nucleotide long non-coding RNA. RefSeq lists it as uncharacterized. The transcript has 2 exons. The record is from RefSeq and is a predicted model, not a curated record. NCBI's taxonomy places the organism in Eukaryota, Metazoa, Arthropoda, Insecta, Diptera, Culicidae.